Molecule: ribosomal RNA, 487 nt
Filed under: uncultured bacterium
Lineage: Bacteria
Description: bacterial SSU rRNA
Rfam family: Bacterial small subunit ribosomal RNA
Source: RNAcentral
GAGAACGCUGGCGGCGUGGAUUAGGCAUGCAAGUCGAACGGUAUCAUCCUUUCGGGGGUGAGAGAGUGGCGAACUGGUGAGUAACACGUAGGUUAUCUACCCUCAAGGACGGGGACAACCCAGGGAAACUUGGGCUAAUACCGGAUGUGAGCAACUUUUAGUUGUUUGAAAGGUGGCGUAAGCUGUCGCUUGGGGAUGAGCCUGCGUCCUAUUAGUUAGUUGGUGAGGUAACGGCUCACCUAGGCAAUGAUAGGUAGGCGGCCUUAACGGGUGGUCGCCCACACUGGGAUUGAGAUACGGCCCAGACUCCUACGGGAGGCAGCAGUCGAGAAUAGUCUACAAUGGUCGGAAGACUGAUAGUGCGACGCCGCGUGAACGAUGAAUCCCUUCGGGGUGUAAAGUUCUUUUAUAUGUGAGCAGUGCUUCUUAUAUUAACAGUAUGGGGAGAGAGAUAUUAGCAUAUGAAUAAGCAACGGCUAACUCCGUG